GGUGGUGCAGUGGUUAAAGCAUUUGGCUGCUAACCAAAAGGUUGGUGGUUUGAACCCACCAGCCA
Non-coding RNA from Loxodonta africana (African savanna elephant), 65 nucleotides. Lineage: Eukaryota; Metazoa; Chordata; Mammalia; Proboscidea; Elephantidae. The record is from Rfam.